Molecule: ribosomal RNA, 402 nt
Filed under: uncultured Roseomonas sp.
Lineage: Bacteria; Pseudomonadati; Pseudomonadota; Alphaproteobacteria; Acetobacterales; Roseomonadaceae
Description: bacterial SSU rRNA
Rfam family: Bacterial small subunit ribosomal RNA
Source: RNAcentral
UGGGGAAUAUUGGACAAUGGGCGCAAGCCUGAUCCAGCAAUUCCGCGUGGGUGAAGAAGGUCUUCGGAUUGUAAAGCCCUUUCGACGGGGACGAUGAUGACGGUACCCGUAGAAGAAGCCCCGGCUAACUUCGUGCCAGCAGCCGCGGUAAUACGAAGGGGGCUAGCGUUGCUCGGAAUUACUGGGCGUAAAGGGCGCGUAGGCGGCGGUGUUAGUCAGGCGUGAAAGCCCUGGGCUCAACCUGGGGACUGCGCUUGAGACGGCAUUGCUAGAGGAUGGAAGAGGGUCGCGGAAUUCCCAGUGUAGAGGUGAAAUUCGUAGAUAUUGGGAAGAACACCGGUGGCGAAGGCGGCGACCUGGUCCAUUACUGACGCUGAGGCGCGACAGCGUGGGGAGCAAACA